UAUGUAACAGGCUACGCUAUGCUGUAGAGAGGCUAUGUAACAGGCUACGCUAUGCUGUAGAGAGGCUAUGUAACAGGCUACGCUAUGCUGUAGAGAGGCUAUGUAACAGGCUACGCUACGCUGCAGAGAGGCUAUGUAACAGGCUACGCUACGCUGCAGAGAGGCUAUGUAACAGGCUACGCUACACUGCAGAGAGGCUAUGUAACAGGCUACGCUGCAGAGAGGCUAUGUAACAGGCUACGCUGUGCUGUAGAGAGG
Molecule: long non-coding RNA, 258 nt
Filed under: Salmo salar (Atlantic salmon)
Lineage: Eukaryota; Metazoa; Chordata; Actinopteri; Salmoniformes; Salmonidae
Description: lncRNA (ENSSSAG00000115743.1)
Source: RNAcentral